GGUGUCAUGGUGAGUCAAGAAACAUUUUGGCUCAUGGUUACAAAUUAUGCGUUUACUGUAUUCAUCUUCGUGCAUGCACACAUGCAAUGUUUUACAAAGCAUCUGUUGAGUGUCUACGGCACAACACACACGUUCUGGUGCUGGAGAUCCUGCCCUGGCUGAGCUUCUGGACCUGGUGGGGAGAAAUCCACAAUGAGUACUGAGACGACCGGCAAAAGCCCGGUGAAGGCACCUAGGAGUAGGGCCUGCUUACCCUGGAGGAGUCGGGAGCAGCUUCCACAGCAAGGAGGCUUCUAAGGUACCCAAAAGCACAAGAGACAGUGAACGGAAAGUGCUUGGAAGCCCCGUGCCCAGGUGGUGCUGGCCCCAGCUGAACUGCGGGGAUAGAUGUUGAGUGUCCAGGUUCUAGCAUCAUAGAACAGAAUCCGGCCUGUUGGGAAAUCCUGCCUACAAGUAUACCUCCAUUAAUUAGUGUCUUCUGUGAACAUUUUUAUUAAAAAAAGAAGAAAAGCUUCUC
This 517-nucleotide long non-coding RNA is filed under the name Homo sapiens (human). RNAcentral describes it as "long intergenic non-protein coding RNA 1849". The record is from RNAcentral. Lineage: Eukaryota; Metazoa; Chordata; Mammalia; Primates; Hominidae.